UUGCACCGUCGCCUGCCCUACAGUUCACCGGCACGCAUUUUCCGCAAGGAAUGUCUACCGCAGACCCCUCUAUGAAGGUAUGGAUGCCCGCGCAAGCGCUCCCGAGCCUGCAUCAGGACCUCGCUGCUAGCUGCUGCUGGACAUUGUCGCGGGUUCAACGCAUCCAGCAAGGGGUGCCCGGCCGACCAAGGGGGAAUGCGUGUCGGAACUUAACCCUAAGUAAUCCUUCUGGUUUUCUUCAAGUCUUGUGCCUCUGCCGUCGGCAGCCUUCUAAGUUGCGCGAGGAUCCUCGGAUGCCUUUACCCGCUGAAAAGUUGGAUUGGCUGAUGAUUGGAACCUCUGCUGCGACAGACUGGCUCGCGCCGACGGCCCGGUUGCCUCUUCCGUCCCGGAGGCAGGUCAAAGGUGAGGAUGCCAUGAGUCGUGUGGUAAGAGUCUCUGGUCUGAGACCGCUCGUCCGCUCCUCUCCGCCGGAACCAGUGCUGUGGUUUUGACAGCACGGCUGAUCGAGUGGUGCGGUCUGAACAACUCUGGGAGCUGAUAUGGCGUUGAAAAUAGAGACAAUUGAGGAGUGCAAGUUGAGCUUGAAUGCGGUCACACACAGAGAUGGCGUUUCACGAUCCUAAUCCAGCUUCCCCUCGCCGGAGGUUUUGUCAGCGUCAUGCCUGGCAUUACUGCGAGAGAUUGCGUGGAUCACAUACAGAAACGCUGCUCGUACUUCCACUGCCCAUUCAUAAUGCUCUCGGAUCUUGAGCCCUCAGUCUCUCAACUGCCGAAGUGGCCCCGGAACUACGGAAUGCCCCUCGAGCCACAUGUUCGCCCCGGCGACAGCGUGGCAGAUGGUCCAGCUAGGCACAUUAGCUUCCACACGUCAGCUAGGUCCGACGUGAUGGAAGGCGCCAGUCCACCGCUGAAUGCCCCGCGGCAUCAGCAUCUUCCUCUGUUUCUGGGUCUCCCCAAAGACGAGAUGAAAGCGCGUUUUUUAUGGAUGUCUUUUGUGCGUGCGGCAAUGCUUCCUUUUUCCGGCUUGCCUGGCAAGCUUUGAUGGGAAUGAAACAAAAACUAGUCCCUGCGGGCAGUGCAAUACAUACAGAACAAGUCAGCAUGAGCUAGCGACCUUGUUGUUUGGAAAUGGUAAUGGCUGGACUGGGCGUUGGUGGAAACCAGCCAGAUGACAGCAGCGAAAUGCUACGGCUUCGGUAACGGGUGACCCGAGUGAUGUAAUGUCUUCUUGGGCUCAAUUGAGCAGACAGCGCCGAUCCAAAAAGCCGUGUUGGGACCCAUCUCGUGUUGGUGUCAAAGUUUCGUACUUGUCCGGUACUGUGGGCUGGCGGAGCUGGCUGCAAGCUUGAGAUGUGCCUUGCGGCGUUUCCGUGCUGAAUUCAUUCGCCUUGAAAGGACAGGCCUUGGGAUGUGGGCAGUCCUGGUUGUCUCGGCCGUCAGAAACGUCGGACGGGACAACCCCCCACGUUGGAGG
Molecule: telomerase RNA, 1477 nt
Filed under: Cordyceps militaris CM01
Lineage: Eukaryota; Fungi; Ascomycota; Sordariomycetes; Hypocreales; Cordycipitaceae
Description: Ascomycota telomerase RNA
Rfam family: Ascomycota telomerase RNA
Source: Rfam by way of RNAcentral